AGGAUAAGAAGAUGUUCCAGCGAUAAACUCUUGAGACUGCAUUGUGGACUGUGUUUGGGGAUUGAAAUUUAUCUCUGGCCGUGGUUCAGGCAAGCCAAUCUGUUGUUGGUUGGAAUAGUUCUGAUUUACAGAAUAUGGUCCUAACUGUUUAUCUUCCAGUAUUGUCGAGAUCUGAUCGGUCAAAUACUUCUGCAGGUACACCACCACAUCAGCUACUAUCAUCGUUAGGGCUUGAUUUUGGAUUGGAGCUUGACUUGGGAAAAGAUUAGGAACAAUUCCCAUUUGGUUCUGCUGAUUGGUCUCAGGUCUCACGAAUUGGUACGUCAUUGGCAUCAUUGGAGCUUGAGUGUGGACUAAACUGGGAACACUACCCAUUUGGUUCUGCUGAAUAAUCUCAGGUCUCAUAAAUUGCUGCUCUUGCUGGUACAUCAUUGGCAUCAUUGGAGCUUGACUGUGGACUAGAUUUUGAACAAUCCCCAUUUGGUUAUGCUGAUUGGUCUCAGGUCUCACGAAUUGCUGCUCUUGCUGGUACAUCAUUGGAGCUUGCCUGUGGGAUAGAUUUGAAACACUGCCCAUUUGGUUAUGCUGAUUAGUCUCAGGUCUCAUAAAUUGUUGCUCUUGCUGGUACAUCAUUGGUUGAUACUGCAUACAUAAACUUUGGUUGAAAUUUUCUUGUGCUCCACGGUUUGGUUCAGUGUUCUGACGGCUCCUGAAAUGCUGAUAUUGAAGCUGAGGAACAUGAGCCAUUUGAGAGUCAUAGUAACGAUUUGAAUCCCUUCCCAUUUGGUCGCACUCUUCAAAGAAGUCGAACUCAGAUCCGGUUGGAUAAUGAAAUCUCUUGUAGAGAUCCACAUCAUCAAUAUGUUGUGUAAAUUCCUUGACGAAUGAGAGACCCAUACCAUGAAAGAUGUGCAUCUCUGAAUCCAGUAAUCUCACAACAUAGUGAGGAUUCGUUACGGAUCCAAAGAAGUACCCUUCCACACGACCAAACAGAGCUCUUGUUUCAAUGAUGUAGACUAUAGUACCUACAUUCAAAGGUUUGUGAUCUCCACUAUUCAUAACUACCACAUGUUUAUAUGGUACCUGUAAUGAUAACUUGGGUUUAAAUUCAAGCAUGGAACUGCUAAGACAAUAAUAGUAAAAGAAAAAGUUUCUCUCGAGAUUACCAUGUUUCACAACUCCAACAGGAACACUGGCUUGAGGAAAUAACGAUAUCAAUAUGGAGGAGAUAAAGCUAUAUAUAUAUAUAUAUAUCUUAGUUACGAUUGUGUGAUGUUUACAUAGAAUCUCUUAGUACUUAUCUUCCUAGAUCUUCUUGGAAAUUGUCUCGUGUAAGUUCAACUAACUAAAAAGACAGAUCCGUUUGGUUUGGGUAAAUCCGGUUUGGCACGGUUUAUUUGAUAAAAUAUACAAUCACAGAGCAAGUUUGGUUAAUAGAAAACAGAGCAAGUUUUGUUCAAAAAAAAAAAGAAAAGAAAACAGAGCAAGUUUUGGUUGCUCUGACGUUAUUAACAUGAGAAACGGAAACAUUAACUCUCUCUCAGAAAUCAGAAGAUGUCAACUAAACAGGUACCAAUGUUUCAUUUAUCAAAUCUGUCCAAGAAUGUAGGUAAAAAAAAGUUUCAAGAGUCCCUUGUGCUUCUGAUCUUGACCUCUCCCACAUCAAAGCCCACGUCCUCUACCAUAUUGAUCCUUUUGCUGGUGGUUUUGAUCUGUUCCUCCCCCACCUCCCCCUGUUCCUAGUUGAGCAAGCAGUUCUCGUUGUCUUCUAAGAUGUUCCUGCCAGUAAAUCGCUUGAUGUUCCUCUGACAUCACCGGAGCUGGAAUAUUGGCUAGAUUGGGAAUAAGGUCACUCCGGGUCUGCUGAUUCAUCUCAGGUCUUUGGGAAGGGGGCAUACCAGGAGAUUGGUAGAAAUGGUUCCAACCUACAGUUGUUCCACCUUGUGGUAUUGCUGGCAUUUGACCACUCAAAUUCUGCUGCUGGUACCAGAAAUGAUUAUGCUGAUUCAUCACAGGUAUGCCAGGAGGGUUGAACAUCACUUGGUUUGGUCUAUGGAAAUAAGCCUCAUGCUGCAUAGGAGGAGGGUAGUUGAAUUGGUUCUGGCCUGCAAAAAACGUNNNNNNNNNNNNNNNNNNNNNNNNNNNNNNNNNNNNNNNNNNNNNNNNNNNNNNNNNNNNNNNNNNNNNNNNNNNNNNNNNNNNNNNNCAGAAGACGUUGGUCCUUGUGCCCUUGCACUAUGGCUUGUGACCUGCUGAUUCCUCAUUUGAUUCUCAAAAGCAGAGGGAUUGUAUCUCUCAUCAAGCCAUGGUUGAUGCUUGCCAGCAGAAGCUAGAGGUAUCCUUCUAUCUUGUUGAGUAGACGACGAUGUAGCAGUAAGCCUCUGAGAUGCUGCAUUGGGACCACGUUGAUUGUGACCUCCAUUGGGACGACUACUCCUGGAACCAUGGUGCCGGUUCGUCCUUGGAUUCUGAUUGGAAAGUGGAGCCAUUUGAGAGUGAGAAUGACUUGAAGAGCUUCCCAAAGUAAAUUGCUUCUUAUUUCUUGAGUUGUUGGUUUCUUCUUCACCAGUCAGCCUUCUCUUUCCCCUGUCACGCUGCGGUUGGUUUACAUAGUACAUUAGAAUAAGGCUCAACUCAAGCAUGCGGUUGUCGUCAAAUCAAAACAGGGUUUAUUGUUUAUUUACAUUGGGAUCAUAUCUAUCACCACCAUCAUUGCGAUCGUCUUCUUGAUCUGCCAUCGUUUCACUAACGUCACGGUUUCUUGAAGAAGAAGCAUCUGUUAUAUUGUUGGCUUCAUCAAUGCCGGAAGAAGAAGCAGGGGGAACAGAGACAUUUAGCGGAACAGCUUCAGUCUCUAGAUUGACAUUACUAUAUGGAACGAGAGGACGGUCCUGAAACGAGCAAGCAAGUUUUAGUUACUUCCUGAUCAAGCAAACAAGAACAAAAGAAAACUAAAAAAGAAUCUUAGAAUCAUUGUCCUUGUUUCAGUUGUUUGAUCUCACUACUUUCAUCGUUUCUUGAGGGAGAAGUAACCGUUUGGAUCAUCAUCAUUGAAGAAGCAACUAGAGAAAAAAAGCUUUACCGUAAGCAACCCAUCGUCUUCUUCUUCGUCGAAUUUGAUGCCACCAAGAAUAGCAGCCGUGGGAUUCGGAUCAUCUUGGUCGUUCCCCAGCCCAUCCAUGGCGAAACUGAAAGAGAGAGACGAGAGACGAAGGAGAGAGCGGGAGAGAACGGCUCACAGUAUCCGUUGCUGAAAUAGGAUAUAUUUGAUACGGUUUAGUCCGGUUACAUACGCUUUAUUGAGUGAGUCAAUGAGAGCGGUGAUAGUUUUUAAUAUUAUCAUAUCAAAUUCUCAUACAGUUAAUAUAUUAACCAAACUAAACUAGCAAACAUUGUAAGACGAACGCUUUAUUCUAGUUACUCUAUGUUUUAUAAAAAUUGUUAGUAAGCUAUAGUGGACUAGUAGUCAUAUAAGGGUUUGACUAGUUUAGACUCAAUACUCAAUCAGGUGCAGAUGUUUGUAUGGAAGUGGUAAUUUCGGUUUCAAGUAUUAUGUUUAUGAUGAUUAUGUUAAUGUUACUAUGUUACACACACAUUAAAAAGAAUACAUCACAAAGCAAAUUCUAUAACCACUGCAAGAAAACAGAAAAGACAAAGAGUUAGAGAUGUUGCUACACAAUUGGAACAAGUUUAACCAAAAAUGAUAGAUAAUUCAUAAAAUUAUGGCUUUGAAAGUUGAAUAAGAGCAUUAAGAAACAAAGCUUCAGCUUAUCUUGAAAAAACAGUCAUGGAAGAGUGGAAAAAAAGUUCAAGAAUCUUUUUUACUUAGGCUUUUUGUUAGUCUCGACCUCUCCCACCUCCUCUUCCGCAGUAAGAAGAUGGUCCAGCGUUAAAUAUCUGAGACUGCAUUGUGGGCUGAGUUUGGGUAUUGAGAUUCAUCUCCGGCCAUGGUUCGGGCAAGUCAAUCUGUUGUUGGUUGGAAUAGUUCUGAUUUACAUAAAAUGAUCCUGACUGUCUAUCUUGCAGUAUUGUCGAGAUAUGAUCAAUCAAAUACUGCCGCAGGUUCACCACCACAUCAGCCACUCUCAUCGUUAUAGCUUGCUGUUGGACUGGAGCUUGACUUGGGAAAAGAUUGGGAACACUCCCCAUUUGGUUCUGCUGGUUGGUCUCAGGUCUCACGCAUUGCUUCUCUUGCUGGUACAUCAUUGGCAUCAUUGGAGCUUGCCUGUGAACAUUGCCCAUUAUGU
RNAcentral lists this long non-coding RNA (4247 nucleotides) under Capsella grandiflora. Its description in RNAcentral is "long non-coding RNA (CGRA_LNC000338)". The record is from RNAcentral. Lineage: Eukaryota; Viridiplantae; Streptophyta; Magnoliopsida; Brassicales; Brassicaceae.